CGUUCCCGGGCCUUGUACACACCGCCCGACACACCACGAGAGUUUCGUAACACCCGAAGUCGGUGGGUAACCUUUGGAGCCAGCCGCCUAAGGUGGGACGAGAUGAUUGGGGUG
RNAcentral lists this ribosomal RNA (114 nucleotides) under uncultured bacterium. RNAcentral's name for it is "partial 16S ribosomal RNA". It matches the Rfam family "Bacterial small subunit ribosomal RNA", at positions 1369 to 1482 of the family's 1533-position model. The record is from RNAcentral.